UCGCCUAUAGCGCCGAGCUCCAUCCAAUAGGCGAGCAACGACAACCCGUGGAUGGAGGCGGGGGACCCAAUGGUCCGCCGAAGGACUUGGAGCCGCCCGCGGCUCCUUGGGGUGAAGCCGGAAUGUUUCCGACAGGAGACAUGACGGCCGGGCGACCUCUUCCGCCCGAACCCGACAGCUGACCUCGUAGGCGUAUACGAGAGGAAUC
This 208-nucleotide small RNA is filed under the name Mycobacterium sp. Its description in RNAcentral is "c-di-AMP sequence". It matches the Rfam family "c-di-AMP riboswitch aptamer (ydaO/yuaA leader)". Rfam says of the family: This family represents a conserved RNA structure found upstream of the ydaO and yuaA genes in Bacillus subtilis and related genes in other bacteria. The ydaO/yuaA element is thought to act as a genetic "off" switch for the ydaO and yuaA genes in its native state. It is believed that the element may be triggered during osmotic shock leading to activation of ydaO, a predicted amino acid transporter gene, and members of the yuaA-yubG operon which code for KtrA and KtrB K+ transporters. The record is from RNAcentral. Lineage: Bacteria; Bacillati; Actinomycetota; Actinomycetes; Mycobacteriales; Mycobacteriaceae.